UGCUGAAGGAAGAUUUUGGUGGACCACAACAAUGUAGUGAAUUGACUAAUCCAGCAGCUCUGCCUACUAACAAUCUUGCCAACGUAACUGAGACCAAUGUGCUAAGAACUGGACAAGUAGGUGCGACUGUAGAACAUAAGGCAGGUGUGAAGGAAGAUUUUGGACGAUCUGAUUCAGCAUUCAUAGAUGGGGCAAUGCAGAUUACUGCAGACCACAAAAUUUCCAGUGAACAGGCUGGGCAAUUGGUUGAUCUUAAUGGACAACAUCUCAGUUGCAUCAUGCAGUAAGAUUUUGGUCGAUCUGAUUCAGCAGUCAUUCAUGGGGCAAUGCAGAUUACAGCAAACCACAAAAUUUCAAGUAAACAGGCUGGGCAAUUGGUUGAUCUUAUUGGACAACAUCUCAGUUGCAUCAUGCAGAUGAUAGGAGCCCAAAAAUCUGUUUCUGAUCCUGCACAAUCCAUUCCUAGUCCAAAGGGUGCGUCUGCCUAGAGUGAAACUCACAAUGCAAAAAGGAGUGAAGUGGAGUAGAUCGACUAGCAGCAGAUAGUGCAGAACUCUAACAGCAAUAACAUUUCACUGGUUGGACAAUCAAAAUGAUGAAACUGACAAUGCAAAAAGUAGUGAAGUGGAGCAGAUCGACCAGCUGCAGAUAGUGCAGAACUCUAACAGCAAUAACAUUUCAUUGGUUGGACAAUCAAAAGGAUUUAAUAUGGAGGCAUCAAAUUUUUUCAAUCCUAUCGCUAAUCAAAAUGCUAUGUCAAUUAAGUCAAGGGAGAAGUCGAUAGUAACAAACGUAAUUGAUAGCUCAAAAAAACCUGAACAACAACAUCACACAGAACCGAGAAAAACAUCUGUUUUGGUUAAGCACACUAAAAUAGAUGAUGCUGCUGAGGACAACAUCAGAACCAACAGGUCGAUAAAUAAUGAACUACUUGAUGCACACUCUAUUUCCUUUGAACUGGAAAAUCCUUUGCAAUAUCCUGCUGAUCAAGCUAAAUCUGGGAUAACUAAUAUUGAUGCUGUGAGACAAUCAACAAGUCUUAAAGAAGAUGAGGGUGCUCAGAAUUAUGAUCGAGCUAAAUCUGGGAUAACUAAUAUUGAUGUUGUGAGACAAUCAACAAGUCUAAAAGAAGAUGAGGGUGCUCAGAAUUCAGAUCAUCAUCAGAUCUCUCGUCAAUUUAAAAUGACUCAACAAGGCAGCGUGGUCUCUGCUCCAGCAGCUGCAGUUUCUAAUGAAGACUUAAUUGAAAGUGGUUUACAGUUACAUCUUGAGAAUUUUUCUCAACAAACAAUUGAAGUUACUCAACAUACUACAAAUAGCGGCACAUCGAUAUCUAAUAGAAAUCCAACUCCACAAAUCAAAAACAAAAUGUAUAUCUCUGAAAAGUGCCCAGCUUCACAUACAAACUCAAAUUCUCUUGCUGCACUUUCAGAUUUGAAUAUUGAGAAGGGAACCAUGAAUGGAGAGAAGCCGACAAUUAACAAAUGUUACGGAGAUCCAUCAUCAUCCUCUGCAAAUAACAAACAGGUUCCUAUGAGGGACAUGGUCAUUAAAUCAAAGAAAGACCAACGAGAUUAUGAUGACAAGGAGGGCUGGGGAGAAGGUUUUGCUGCUUUUUCGUCUUCAGACGAUGACUGAGAUUUUGAGGACGACACUGUUGGAGAGGACAGUGAGGAUCAGUUCAAAAAUCAAAGGAAGUUAGCGACAGUUAAGUGUACUGCUAAUCUGCAAAUAGUAG
Molecule: long non-coding RNA, 1738 nt
Filed under: Nicotiana benthamiana
Lineage: Eukaryota; Viridiplantae; Streptophyta; Magnoliopsida; Solanales; Solanaceae
Description: long non-coding RNA (NBEN_LNC009008)
Source: RNAcentral